AUUCAGAUGACGAACCCCAAAUAGGACGAAAUGCGCAUCCUGGAU
This is a non-coding RNA of Trichobilharzia regenti, 45 nucleotides long. The record is from Rfam. NCBI's taxonomy places the organism in Eukaryota, Metazoa, Platyhelminthes, Trematoda, Strigeidida, Schistosomatidae.